RNAcentral lists this ribosomal RNA (433 nucleotides) under uncultured bacterium. RNAcentral's name for it is "partial 16S ribosomal RNA". It matches the Rfam family "Bacterial small subunit ribosomal RNA", at positions 29 to 507 of the family's 1533-position model. The record is from RNAcentral.
AACGAACGCUGGCGGCAUGCCUAACACAUGCGAGUCGAACGAGACCUUCGGGUCUAGUGGCGCACGGGUGAGUAACGCGUGGGAACCUGCCCUUAGGUUCGGAAUAACUCCCCGAAAGGGGUGCUAAUACCGGAUAAUGUCUUCGGACCAAAGAUUUAUCGCCUUUGGAUGGGCCCGCGUUGGAUUAGCUAGUUGGUAGGGUAAAAGCCUACCAAGGCGACGAUCCAUAGCUGGUCUGAGAGGAUGAUCAGCCACACUGGGACUGAGACACGGCCCAGACUCCUACGGGAGGCAGCAGUGGGGAAUAUUGGACAAUGGGCGAAAGCCUGAUCCAGCAAUGCCGCGUGAGUGAUGAAGGCCUUAGGGUUGUAAAGCUCUUUUACCCGGGAUGAUAAUGACAGUACCGGGAGAAUAAGCUCCGGCUAACUCCGUG